UACGUAGGGUGCAAGCGUUAAUCGGAAUUACUGGGCGUAAAGCGUGCGCAGGCGGUUUUGUAAGUCUGAUGUGAAAUCCCCGGGCUCAACCUGGGAAUUGCAUUGGAGACUGCAAGGCUAGAAUCUGGCAGAGGGGGGGAGAAUUCCACGUGUAGCAGUGAAAUGCGUAGAGAUGUGGAGGAACACCGAUGGCGAAGGCAGCCCCCUGGGUCAAGAUUGACGCUCAUGCACGAAAGCGUGGGGAGCAAACAGG
This 253-nucleotide ribosomal RNA is filed under the name uncultured bacterium. Its description in RNAcentral is "partial 16S ribosomal RNA". It matches the Rfam family "Bacterial small subunit ribosomal RNA", at positions 524 to 776 of the family's 1533-position model. The record is from RNAcentral.